This 28-nucleotide small RNA is filed under the name Bombyx mori (domestic silkworm). RNAcentral's name for it is "ovarian small RNA-35767". Lineage: Eukaryota; Metazoa; Arthropoda; Insecta; Lepidoptera; Bombycidae. The record is from RNAcentral.
UGUCUAGAAAAUCGUUUGGUGGUCCGUU